UACGGUCGCAAGAUUAAAACUCAAAGGAAUUGACGGGGACCCGCACAAGCGGUGGAUGAUGUGGAUUAAUUCGAUGCAACGCGAAAAACCUUACCUACCCUUGACAUGGAUGGAAUCCCGGAGAGAUCUGGGAGUGCUCGAAAGAGAACCAUUACACAGGUGCUGCAUGGCUGUCGUCAGCUCGUGUCGUGAGAUGUUGGGUUAAGUCCCGCAACGAGCGCAACCCUUGUCAUUAGUUGCUACGAAAGGGCACUC
This 255-nucleotide ribosomal RNA is filed under the name Janthinobacterium violaceinigrum. Its description in RNAcentral is "Janthinobacterium sp. FT13W partial 16S ribosomal RNA". It matches the Rfam family "Bacterial small subunit ribosomal RNA", at positions 881 to 1140 of the family's 1533-position model. RNAcentral also lists the same sequence under 1 other name. The record is from RNAcentral. Lineage: Bacteria; Pseudomonadati; Pseudomonadota; Betaproteobacteria; Burkholderiales; Oxalobacteraceae.